GAUGAACGCUGGCGGCGUGCCUAAUACAUGCAAGUCGAGCGAAUGGAUUAAGAGCUUGCUCUUAUGAAGUUAGCGGCGGACGGGUGAGUAACACGUGGGUAACCUGCCCAUAAGACUGGGAUAACUCCGGGAAACCGGGGCUAAUACCGGAUAACAUAUUGAACCGCAUGGUUCGAAGUUGAAAGGCGGCUUCGGCUGUCACUUAUGGAUGGACCCGCGUCGCAUUAGCUAGUUGGUGAGGUAACGGCUCACCAAGGCAACGAUGCGUAGCCGACCUGAGAGGGUGAUCGGCCACACUGGGACUGAGACACGGCCCAGACCCCUACGGGAGGCAGCAGUAGGGAAUCUUCCGCAAUGGACGAAAGUCUGACGGAGCAACGCCGCGUGAGUGAUGAAGGCUUUCGGGUCGUAAAACUCUGUUGUUAGGGAAGAACAAGUGCUAGUUGAAUAAGCUGGCACCUUGACGGUACCUAACCAGAAAGCCACGGCUAACUACGUGCCAGCCGCCGCCGUAA
Molecule: ribosomal RNA, 515 nt
Filed under: uncultured bacterium
Lineage: Bacteria
Description: partial 16S ribosomal RNA
Rfam family: Bacterial small subunit ribosomal RNA
Source: RNAcentral